UGCCAAGCACAGGUUAACAAGUUGUUACCCAACUCCGUGAGGUCCGGAAGGAAGCAGCGGUUAGUAUUCAAUUUGUGUAAUUUGCUGCUUGGCUUUU
RNAcentral lists this signal recognition particle RNA (97 nucleotides) under Ignavibacteriota bacterium. Its description in RNAcentral is "Ignavibacteriae bacterium (activated sludge metagenome) signal recognition particle sRNA small type". It matches the Rfam family "Bacterial small signal recognition particle RNA". From Rfam's summary of the family: The signal recognition particle (SRP) is a universally conserved ribonucleoprotein involved in the co-translational targeting of proteins to membranes. Archaeal SRP consists of a 7S RNA and homologues of the eukaryotic SRP19 and SRP54 proteins. Lineage: Bacteria; Pseudomonadati; Ignavibacteriota. The record is from RNAcentral.